This 568-nucleotide long non-coding RNA is filed under the name Physcomitrium patens. RNAcentral describes it as "long non-coding RNA (PPAT_LNC012346)". The record is from RNAcentral. Lineage: Eukaryota; Viridiplantae; Streptophyta; Bryopsida; Funariales; Funariaceae.
AUUUGAUUAGGAUUUGAUUAGGAUUUGAUUAAGGUUUGAUUAGAGUUUGAUUUAAGAUUUAGGAUUUGAUUUAGGAUUUAAUUAGGAUUUGAUUUAGGAUUAGAAUUUGCUUAGGAUUUGAUUUAGGGUUAGGAUUUGGUUAGAAUUUAGUUAGGAUUUGAUUUAGGAUUUAAGGUUUGGUUAAGGUUUGGUUUAGAAUUUAAGAUUUGAUUAGGAUUUGUUUUAGAAUUAGGGUUUGAUUUAGGAUUUAGGAUUUAGUUAGGAUUUGGUUUAGGAUUUAUGGUUUGGUUUAGGGUUUAAGGUUUGAUUUAGGAUUUAAGAUUUGGUUAGAAUUUGAUUUAGGAUUUAGGAUUUGAUUAGGGUUUGAUUUAAUAUUCGAUUAGGAUUUGGUUUAGGAUUUAGGAUUUUAUUAGGAUUUGUUUAGGAUUUAAGAUUUAGUUAGUUUUUGGCCUAAAGUUUGAAUAAAGUCCAAUAGGAUUUUAACUAGGAUUAAAUUAAGAUUGAAUUGAGAUUUAUUUGACAUAUAUUUGUGAUCAUUUUAAUAUUUUUUUAAGAUUUCUUAUUAUUU